AUGGGCUUCCGAGAUAUACAUUGUUUCAAUCUGGCUUUGUUAGCCAAACAAGCGUGGCAGUUUCUUGGUAAUCCUAAUUCCCUAUGCGCCACCAUCUUGAGGACUAAAUAUUUUCCGGAUGUCGACUUAAUGAAUGCAAGUCUAAAAAAUGGUUCUUACUUUAAUUGGCAAAGCAUUAUGGCGGGAGUUGAUUCUCUCAAACAUGGUUAUAUUAGAGUUGGAAAUGGACAAAAUAUAGAUAUUUGGAAAGAUUCAUGGAUUCCGAACUAUGCAAAUAGGAAAAAUAUUACACCUAGAAGAGGAAAUCAUCUGUCAAAAGUUGUUGAUCUUAUCAAUCUAGUCACCUAUUAUUGGGAUAAAGAUUUACUAAGACAAGCGUCGUGGCCAAUUGAUGCUCAAAGGGUGCCCGCGAUUCCCCUCGAUAUGCAUAAUAUGACAGAUUUCAUUGCUUGGAGCUAUACACAGAAUGGAUUGUGCAUGCUUCGUUCAGCUUAGUUGAAGGAAUGGAACAAACAACAUGGGUGUAAAUUGCAACACACAAAUGGUAUGGGUAGAACAAAUGUAAAUCCUAUUUGGAGUAAGAUUUGAGAAUUAUCUUGUCCAGCAAAGGUGAAAAUUUUCAUUUGCCAUACUUUGCACGGAACCCUCCCUCGUCGUGUUACACUUGCUAAUAGACAUAUGAAAGUUCCGCACAUCUGCCCAUCAUGUUUGAAUGUGCCAGAAGAUACAGAACACAUGUUGUUUCUGUGUCAGAAGGCGAAACAGGUUUGGGAGAAGCUGGGAUUGCAUGAGGCCAUUAGUAAAGCUUGUGCUAUCGGUCAUGCGGGAGAGGCAGUUCUUGAAUUCUUACUUCUUAUGCCAGAGCAAGAACUACCUAUAGUGGGAAUCCAGUAUGUACGUGACUUGAUCGCUAUAUCAACUUGGUAUUUAUGGUGGGACAGAUGUACUCCGGUUCAUCAGGGAAAGUCUCAAGAUCCAUACCGAACUUCGAUGGGGGCCCGUGCUAUAAUGGCAAACUAUGUUAAUGCACACUCCUCAAGGGCAACAAAUAGAAUAGAGGGAUGGACAAGACCUUUGAUGGGUUUUGUGACAUUGGAUGUCGAUGCUUCUUCUUAG
Molecule: ribosomal RNA, 1116 nt
Filed under: Triticum aestivum (bread wheat)
Lineage: Eukaryota; Viridiplantae; Streptophyta; Magnoliopsida; Poales; Poaceae
Description: partial small subunit ribosomal RNA
Source: RNAcentral